Non-coding RNA from Microcebus murinus (gray mouse lemur), 2339 nucleotides. The record is from RefSeq and is a predicted model, not a curated record. Lineage: Eukaryota; Metazoa; Chordata; Mammalia; Primates; Cheirogaleidae.
CUUCAUAAGUGACCUGGGGAGCCCCAGCCUGGUUAAAGCAACCGUAGUUCCUCUGUGGAUGAGAGCAAGGGCUCCGGAAUGGUGCCCUUCCAUGCGUUCUGUGUCGGGGUCUGGAGAUGCCCCUGUGCUCAAGGACAGCCUGUUACAAAUUGCUUUCCGGGAGGUCCCUUGUCCUGCUCUAGCACUCAGGGCUUUAUUUACAGAAUGGCUGUUCUUGGCAGCUUCCUCAGCCUCCCAGACUCUUCCCCUACUUUGGAUCAUUGGGCUCUAUUUUUACUCAGAAAUGAGAAGUUUCCCAUGUUUGAAAAUAGAUGCCGUGUAGAGGACUGUUUCGCUCCUGUUUCUGCCUGCCCAGGAAGCUCCCCUCCGUCCUCCUCCUCCUGGAGACAGCGGUGCCAGGGCCGCGGGGCAGGCAUGUGAUACCAGGACCUGUGGGGAUCUGCCCGGGACUGGGAGAGGGAAGCUCUCCUUCCUCUGGGGCUGCUAAGUGGAGGUGCUGGAGUUGCCUGGCUAUCUCCCUCACUGCCUGAAGCAAGUUUCCCAUCAGCAGAUAUGAGAACAGGGGCAGCGCAUGUGUGGAAGCAGGAAGGGGGCAGCGAUGAUGACACGUGUGCGCCUUUGAGCCCCCGGAUCCACCUCCACCAGGCCUUCCAGCCACAGGAGCCUUUCGUUCCCUUUUUUGCUUAACCUAGCUGGAGCUGGGUUUCUUGCUCCUGACCGAUACCAUGAAAGCCUGGUUCCUUCCCUGGGUUCUAGGUUGGGCCCAGCUGCAGGUGCCUUCCAAAUUGCCUCCCUGAGACACCCAAUCUCAGGACUGUGACGUUGCUCCCGGUAGGCAGCUGGGGGAGGGAGUUGAUGUACCUGCCUUACACCAAAAACCCUAGCUGGAAAAACUGAGGGAGCGGGGAGCACCUCUCUGCUGAUCUAGGGUGUGCUCAGUGCAGGUCUGCAGACCCCUGGGUGACAGCUUAUGGCGUCUCUUUCAGGGUCAAGUUUACAGCCUCAGUUUAUAAGUGUUUGCUCUGGUGACACGAGAAGAGGCAAAAAAGAAAAAAAGAAAAGAAGACACCACCGAGAGGCAGGUUGAGCCUCAGUCAGUGCCUGAAUUUACAGCACCUGCCCUUUUGAUGUGCAGCUCGUAUUCCAAACUACCGCCUGGUUUCUCUGCCACGGAGCCUGAAUACAUGGACAAGAAUUAUUACUCCUAGUCUAGUCUUGGAGGACCUGAAGCUCAGAAGAAUCAGACAACCUACACAAGGAAAACACAGUGAGCUGAUGACAACACUGGAUUGGGCCUCAUGCCUCCCAAUCUCAUGUCACUUCCUUGUAGAGUGUCAUUGUAUUCAUUUUCUAUUGCUACUAUAACAAAUUACCACAUAUUUAGUGGCUUAAAGCAAUAAAAUUUAUAAUCUAACAGUUCCGAAGUUAGAAUCUCAUUGGGCUAAAAUCAAGAUGUUGGCAAGGCUAUGUCCUUCUGAGGCUCUGAGGGAAUCCAUUUUCUUACCUGUUGCAGCUUCUGAGGCCAAUGCAUUCCUUGGUUCAUGGUCCCUUCUUUCUUCAAAACCAGCAUGCCCAGUCAAGUCAUCCUCACAUCAUGUUACCCUGACACUCACUCUUUGUCUCCUGCUUCCACAUUUAAGGAUCCUUGUGAUUGCACUGAGCCCACCUGGAUAAUGCAGGGCAAUUUCUCUGUUUUCAGGUCAGCUGAUGAGCAACCUUAAUUCUCCUUUGUCAUGUACCGUAACAUACUCACAGGUUCAGAGGGUUAGUUCUUGGACAUCUUUGGGGGACCAUAUGCUGCCUACCAGGGUCAUGCACCUUUUCCCUGUGGUAGGAGAUGGUGAUGAUAACCAUAGUAAUAGUGGCAGUUAGGAUUCUAGUCCAGAUGAGUCUUGCUUGAAGCUACAGGUCAGUACCUUUCUAAUUUUCAACUGUGUUUGAGCCUUAUCAGCCUUUAACAUAGUUGGUGCCCCACAUUUUCCAGCCUUCCAGAAUUACCCUUUACUUAAGUAUUCAAAGAACAUAACACGCUCUAAGGCCAGAGGAAUUCCAGCUCUCUCCCAAAUGUUGCCAAGAAUUUCUGGAUGCACAUCCACCCUCAUGUCAGUGGUCUUGUCUCACUCCAUAUUGCUCCCAACUUCUUCUGGAUCCUUAUGGUUCCCCCAUUACAAGCUCUAUACAUGGUCCCCUCCCCCUGAGGUGGUUUGCUUCCAAACAGGGACCCUCCCAUGAUUCCAGAGGUAGGGCUACCUGGAGAGAAUCAGGUUAGAAUGUUUAAUCAAUUCCUCUGCAGGCCUGAAGAUCCUUUGUAUGGGCUUUACAAUACAGGAGAAUAGAAC